AACAGGAUUAGAUACCCUGGUAGUCCACGCCCUAAACGAUGUCUACUAGUUGUCGGGUUUUAAUUAACUUGGUAACGCAGCUAACGCGUGAAGUAGACCGCCUGGGGAGUACGGUCGCAAGAUUAAAACUCAAAGGAAUUGACGGGGACCCGCACAAGCGGUGGAUGAUGUGGAUUAAUUCGAUGCAACGCGAAAAACCUUACCUACCCUUGACAUGGAAGGAAUCCUGGAGAGAUCUGGGAGUGCCCGAAAGGGAACCUUCACACAGGUGCUGCAUGGCUGUCGUCAGCUCGUGUCGUGAGAUGUUGGGUUAAGUCCCGCAACGAGCGCAACCCUUGUCAUUAGUUGCUACGCGAGAGCACUCUAAUGAGACUGCCGGUGACAAACCGGAGGAAGGUGGGGAUGACGUCAAGUCCUCAUGGCCCUUAUGGGUAGGGCUUCACACGUCAUACAAUGGUACAUACAGAGGGCCGCCAACCCGCGAGGGGGAGCUAAUCCCAGAAAGUGUAUCGUAGUCCGGAUUGUAGUCUGCAACUCGACUACAUGAAGUUGGAAUCGCUAGUAAUCGCGGAUCAGCAUGUCGCGGUGAAUACGUUCCCGGGUCUUGUACACACCGCCCGUCACACCAUGGGAGCGGGUUUUACCAGAAGUAGGUAGCUUAACCGCAAGGAGGGCGCUUACCACGGUAGGAUUCGUGACUGGGGUGAAGUCGUAACAAGGUAACC
RNAcentral lists this ribosomal RNA (725 nucleotides) under uncultured bacterium. Its description in RNAcentral is "bacterial SSU rRNA". It matches the Rfam family "Bacterial small subunit ribosomal RNA", at positions 771 to 1501 of the family's 1533-position model. The record is from RNAcentral.